GCCCCCCAUGCCGUCGUCGUCGCCGGCGAUGGCACUCCAGCAGCACCCACCGCCGCCGCAGGAGCUCGACCUGGAGUCCUUCCUCCCGUCUUCUCCCACCUCAUCCUCAUCCUCAGCCUCCGACGCCGACCACCGCCGCGCCGUCGACGACCUGCUCCUCCUCCACUCCUCGUCGGACUCCGACUCCGACGAGCCAACACACAGCCCCAAAACCCUAGCCCGCACCAAAGCCCCGCCGCCGGCCCCUAAACCUUCCCCUCCCCCUUCCCCCGGGAGAUCCACAUCCGCCUCGCCGUCGCCGACGCUCUCCUCCCUGGUCUCGAGAACCUUCUCGAACAGCGCUGCGUCCUCGUCGAGGCAACUCCCGUCGCUCUUCCGGGGCGUCCGCCCCAGCCCCAAACCCGGCGCGGCCCUCGCUGCGGCCGCCGCCGCAUCCCGCGCUGUCCUCACCCCGCACGCCGCGGCGAUUAAGUCACGCCGCACCGCCUCCGCGCCCAUCGAGAAGCUCCUCCACGAGGGCUCCGGCUCCGGCUCCGAAGCCUCCGAGGGGAUCCCAUCCGCUGGAAAUUCGGAAGCAGAGGUAGUGGCAGAGAAGGUCAGUGAGGAAGUGGUUGCUAGGGUGACCGAGGAAAAUGUCGGUGGAAGUAGUAGGACUGAAGAGUUGGAAGAGGGCAAGCAUGUGGAGGUGGGGAUUGAAGAGAACUCCAAGCCCUCGGAAUCGGUGGAGGCAGGUGAUGUUGAUUCUGUUGCUGCCGAGAAUGUCAUUGAACCUGAGCAAGUUGAGGAUGACAAUUUGGCAGAAAUCAAUGCCGGGAGUCAAAUUGGGCUUGUUGAUGAGGAAAACUUUGAUGAGGAAACAGGAGACGAAUAUUUAGUGGCAUCUGAUGAGAUUGUGGAUCAAGUUGAGGCUGUUUCCGAGGAGAAGACCGUUGAUGAGCUGGAGUUUGAUCGGUCUGACACUGAUUCGGUAGAGCAAGUGGAUUCGGAGAGCGUCAUUGACAAGGUGAUCGAAGAGAGGUUGGAGAUCAGCAGGAAGGCUGAAAAAACUACGGAGAAGAAGCCCAAGGUGUCGAUGAAACCAUUGGAGUGGGCGGAGGAGCUCGAGAAGAGGCAGGCCUCGUUCGGGCAACAUUGGGAGGAGGGAGCAGCAGCACAACCCAUGCGCCUGGAGGGGAUUGGAAAGGGCCAACCAGCAAUUGGUUACAUGCAGAUUGAGGUGGACAACCCAAUAACUCGUGCCAUGGCCACCCCGUCAUUUCGCAAGGACCAUGGCUCUCCCCACGUGUUAGCAGCACAUAGGAGCUACCUAGCGAUGGGCAUGUCCAAUGGAUCUGUUAUUAUCGUCCCAAGCAAAUACUCCAUCCAUCAACCUGAUGAUACAGAUGCAAAGAUGCUGUUCUUUUGGAAUCAAGGUGAGAAAACUCAAUCACCAGUGACUGCCAUGUGCUUUAACCCGCAAGGGGAUCUUCUGCUAGUAGGAUAUGGUGAUGGCCAUAUGACAAUUUGGGAUGUACAGAAGGCUACUGCAGCAAAAGUCAUAUAUGGCGAGCAUACAGCACCUGUAGUGCAUGUUUGUUUUAUCCGCCAAUCUAAAGCCAUCACUGGAGAUUCAAAAGGGCAUGUUCUUUUGCACACAUUCUCGAUCAUCCCCGUCAUUAAUCGCUUGACUAUCAAGGGAACCCAGCGCCUUUUUGACGGAAAUGGUGGAAUGGUGCACUCAGCCUGUCCUCUUCUAGCGGAUGAAUCCUUUGGUUCUACCAACUCAUCUGCCCAGGGCAACCUAACAACUUCCUCGGGUGGUGGUCUUGGGAGCAUGAUGGGAGGUGUAGUUGGAGGAGAUUCUGGAUGGAAGUUUUUCAACGAAGGUUCUUCUCCAAUGGAGGAUGGUGUUACAGUCUUGUUCAAUAUGCAUCAACAUGCUCUUGUGGUUAGACUCCGUACCAACAUUGAUCACGUUGACCAUAUUGAGACCUUCUCUAGACCAGAAGGAGCACGAGAAGGGUCAAUUUCUUAUGCUGCAUGGAAAUGGACAUCAUCCUUGGGUGAUUCGUCGCCAGUCGAUGAAGAACGAGUAUCAUGGCUUGCGCUUGCAUGGGACCGUCAAGUGCAAGUUGCAAAAUAUGUGAAAUCAAAGAUGAUCAAACAUAAGGAAUGGAAGCUUGAUAGUGCAGCCAUUGGUGUUGCCUGGUUAAAUGAUCAGAUGUUAGCUGUCCUUAAUCUGAGAGGGCAGCUUUGUUUGUUCUCAAAAGAUGGCAGUGAGCUUCGCAGGACUAUCUUUGUUCUUGAUGGUUUUAUCUUUGAUGACAGCAUACUGUUCCAUACACAUUUUUUGAACAAGUUUGGUAUUCCUGAAAGGCAUUUUAAUAACUCAGUAGCAGUAAGAGGUGCUACAGUAUAUAUUCUUGGCCCAAGCUUUCUUACAGUUUCGCGACUUCUUCCAUGGAAAGAGCGGAUUGAAGCACUAAAGAGGGCUGGUGAUUGGAUGGGUGCACUGGACAUGGCAAUGAAGCUUUAUGACGGUCAUACACAGGGUGUUGUUGAUCUCCCGAGAACAGUUGAUUCUAUAAGAGAAGCCAUAAUGCCAUAUUUAGUAGAGUUGCUGCUGUCAUAUAUAGGUUAUGUCUUCGAGUAUAUCUCAAUUGCAUUGUCAAACCAUACUGGAAAAGGGGAAGCAACAGAUGGCCUGAUAGACGCUGAUAGAUCCCUGCUGACACAGAGAGAGGAACAGUAUGCUCGUGUAGGAGGGGUUGCAGUUGAGUAUUGUGUUCACAUUGGAAGGAAUGACAUCCUAUUUGAUACAGUAUUUUCGAAGUUUGUUGCUGCACAAAGUGGAGGCAUGUUUCUGGAGGUACUGGAGCCAUAUAUACUGAAAGAUAUGCUUGGUUCUUUACCCCCUGAGAUCAUGCAAGCUCUUGUUGAACAUUACAGUGGCAAAGGAUGGUUGCAGCGAGUCGAACAAUGCAUUCUUCAUAUGGAUAUUUCUUCACUGGAUUUUAAUCAGGUAGUCAGACUGUGUCGUGAACAUGGGUUAUAUGGUGCUCUUAUUUAUUUAUUUAACCAAGGCUUGAAUGAUUUUCGUACACCUCUAGAGGAACUUCUAUCUGUUAUCCAGAGCGUUGCUAGAAAAGAUGCUACUGCUACUUGCUACAGAAUGCUUGUUUAUCUGAAGUAUUGCUUCCAAGGCCUAGCAUUUCCUCCAGGGCAUGGAAUAAUUCCCCGAGGCCGUCUUCAUUCAGUGAGAAAAGAACUUCUGGAAUUCAUGCUUGAGGAAUCUAAAAUGCUCACUUCUGAAAUAUGUAAGGGGUUCAGUUCUUCUUGUGGGAAAUGCCCAAACAUAUGCUAUCUACUAUGGAUGGAUACGGAAGCUACUUUGGAAGUUGUCAAGUGUGCUUUUGAGCAAGAGAGUUUUGAGCAUACUUCUGGCACUCUUGAUACAUCUGUGUCCAAGGACGAGGAUAAUAAUAAUAUUGGAAGCCCAGAUAGUCAAAAUGUUUUGUUACAAAGUGUAGUUGACAUCAUCGUUCAUAUUGUUGGUUUAGAAAAUGAGGCGAUCCAUUCCAUUGUUGUGGGCACUGCUGAGUCAGAAGAAUCAGAACUUUGGCCUUCAGUGAAUGACUUUGGUUACAUAAUUGAAUUUGUGUCCUGUUUUGUUUCCCGUAAAAGGGCAAAUGCAUCUCAAAGAGUUCUUAAGCACAUUCUUAAAUACCUUUCAUCAUCCAGUACUCCAUCAUAUGACGAUAACAAGAUGCUAAGUCAGAAAGAAGUUCUUCAGCUCUUCAAUGUGGUUCCUCAAACUGACUGGAAUUCUGAUUAUGUGUUGCAUCUCUGUUUAGAAGCCACUUUUCACCAGGCCUGUGGCAUGAUAUAUACAGCCAGAAAUCAACAUUUGGCUGCUUUAGAUAGUUACAUGAAGGAUACAGUGGAACCAUACCACGCUUUUGUCUUCAUCAACAAAAAGUUACUUCAAUUGGCAGGUGAUGAAGCUUUGGCAUUUCGUUCCACAGUAAUAUCCCGUUUUUCUGAGCUAGUCAAUCUAAGCAGGGAGUGUGCAUUUGUCUUGGUGAUUGAUCAUUUUCACGAUGAGAUCCAGCAAAUAUUGUCAGAGCUUCAUUCUGAUCACCGCAGCCUCUUUCUUUUCUUGAAAACUGCAAUUGAAGUACACUUGUCAGGAAAACUUGACUUGAGUGAACUUACUGCCAGAAACUAUCAAACUGUUGAACGUCGCUACUUUUCUGGCGAACUUGAAGAUUAUCUGCAUAGAUUAUCAAAUCUACCGAAGUUGUUUGACCGCAAUCCUGUUUCUAUGACUGAUGAGUUAGUUGAACUCUAUCUGGAGCUUUUGUGUCAGUACGAAUCAAGGUCAGUUCUGAAGUUUCUGGAGACUUUCGAUAGCUAUAGAUUGGAGAAGUGUUUGCAUCUUUGUCUACAUUAUGGAGUUACAGAUGCUGCUGCAUUUUUGCAAGAGAGGGUUGGUGAUGUUGGUAGUGCACUGGCACUUGUUCUAGCUGGACUCGAUGACAAAAUCAGCUACUUUGUUGCUUCGGUGGAAAAUCUGUUCUCCCCGAUAUCUUCAAAAAGUAUCUCUGGAAUUGAGAAACCAGAAACUGUUCUAAAAAUGAGUGAGGCUCAUCCGGUGCUUGAUGUGCUACAUUCCUCCAUUGGAUUGUGCCAAAGGAAUUCACAGCGCCUAGACCCAGAGGAGUCUCAGCUACUUUGGUUUCAACUGCUUGACUCCUUCUCGGAUCCACUGAAAAAGUUAUAUGGAAACAAAGUUGUAAAUGGAAAAGGUUCUUGGCCUGAGGGGCGUGAAACGACAAAUGGACAUCCAACAGGCAAAGGAUUCUCACAACAAAUAGUGAAUUCAAGUAACCAAAGGUGUUUGAAUACUUUGCGGAGAGUAUUCUCACAAUUCGUUGGAGAGAUAAUCGAGGCAAUGGCUGGGUAUAUACCCCUACCAGCAAUUAUGGCAAAGCUAUUAUCUGACAAUGGGAGUCAAGAGUUUGGUGACUUUAAACUUGUCAUACAUAGAAUGCUGUCUAUGUAUCUUUAUGAAAAACGAAUACUGGAAACAGCCAAGUCAGUUAUUGAGGAUGAUUCAUUCUAUAGCUUGAGCUUAUUAAAGAGAGGGGUUUGUCACGGAUUUGCUCCACAGACUUUUGUCUGCUGUGUAUGCAACUGCUCACUUUCUAAAGAAGAUGCUAUUUCAGCAGUUCGAGUAUUCAGUUGUGGACAUGCAACACAUCUUCACUGUGAGUCUGAGCAAAGCAAAUCAUCCAACAAGGAUUCCAAAGAUGGAUGUCCAAUUUGUCUCUCGAUGAGUAACACACAAACCCAGAACAAAUCACCUAUAAUAUCUGAGAAUGGGCUACCCAAGUAUCCUGUGGUUGAAAAUGAAGUAUCGUAUGGCAUCCAUCAUAAUCAUGAGUCAGAACAUGUUGAAAAAUCUCGUGGGAUUCAGCAGAUGUCACGGUUUGAGAUGCUGAAUAAUCUUCAGAAAGCACAGAAGUCUUUUCAUAUUGAAACUGUACCUCCAUUGAAACUUUCUCCACCAGCCAUAUAUCAUGAAAAGAUACAGAAGAGAGUGAGUUUGGUGGGAGAAUCCAGCAGGCAUUCUGUUAGAAGUGAAAAACAACAGAAAAUAUGGCAGAUGAAGGAGCCAAAAUCAAAGAAAUCAGGGAAUUGGCUUCCGCCAAAGUCAAGCAUAUUCAGUUCUGACAAGAACCAAGUGCGGUAGACUAAUGAUUGCACGGUGAGAAGUGUGCACUAUUCCCAGAUUGAUUUGCUUCAAGAAUGAAGCACUGAACACCCUCCUUGUUCUGUGCAGCAACCAGACUCUUCCUCUCCACAAUGGCUGUCGAAAGCUCCACAAAAUUUACCAAUGUGCUUGAGCUGUUUGGCAUCACAAAAUUCCCAUCUUGGUGAUGCAUCCAAGUGGUUUGGACUAGUAUGAUUCUUCUCACGAUUUGAUGUUCGAAGAUUGCUUUGAGCAACGGGAAGAAUCAUAAAGGAAGCGAGAUGAUACAUGCGACCCCAUGACUGUAAAGGCUGUAAAUUAGAAGACUGAUAAGAAACAAUUUUUUUGAAGCAGGAGCAUACGGUUGACUAACAUGGUCCACACACCAGUUAAUUGUAGAUGACUUGGUUCAUUCGUUGUAACGCAGGGAUGUAUAGUUGCUAGUUGGUACAGAGUGAUAGUUUGAUAGAUCCAACUGAUGUACAGAGGCCCGUUAUGCAAUUCAUUGUAAAACAUGUUUCGUUAGAAGCUGUUGUAAAAUAUUCAGAUGCUCAGACGUAACCAAUAUUUCCUGCGAAAGAAAUAGUUCUAAUCUAAA
Lolium rigidum is the source of this 6332-nucleotide RNA transcript. RefSeq lists it as uncharacterized. Lineage: Eukaryota; Viridiplantae; Streptophyta; Magnoliopsida; Poales; Poaceae. The transcript has 21 exons. The record is from RefSeq and is a predicted model, not a curated record.